CCACCACCACCACCACCACCACCCGAGCCUCCGGUUCCGCCACCGUUAGCGGAGGAAGAGACGAGAGUGGUGUGGAAUCGUUUACGAGAAGUUGACCAAGUGAGAGAGGGGGUAAAGACUUUAGAAGAAGAGGUGGAGAUGCGAGGAGUGAUGAUAGGAAAGCUCUUAUGGUAGUGGUGGUGGUUUGGCGAGUGAAAAGAGAGGGAGCGCGUUGAGAGGUUGCAGAAGGUGGCGACUGCCAUUACAGAGAGAUAGAGAGAGAGAGAGAGA
Molecule: unclassified non-coding RNA, 270 nt
Filed under: Hevea brasiliensis (rubber tree)
Lineage: Eukaryota; Viridiplantae; Streptophyta; Magnoliopsida; Malpighiales; Euphorbiaceae
Source: RNAcentral